Eriocheir sinensis (Chinese mitten crab) is the source of this 476-nucleotide long non-coding RNA. RefSeq lists it as uncharacterized. Lineage: Eukaryota; Metazoa; Arthropoda; Malacostraca; Decapoda; Varunidae. The record is from RefSeq and is a predicted model, not a curated record. The transcript is spliced from 3 exons.
CAGGUAAACACGAGCAGGUAAACAUAGGCAGGUAAACACAAACAGGUAAACACAAGCAGGUAAACACAAACAGGUAAACACAAACAGGUAAACACAAGCAGGUAAACACAAACAGGUAAACACAAACAGGUAAACACAAACAGGUAAACACGAGCAGGUAAACACAAACAGGUAAACACGAGCAGGUAAACACAAACAGGUAAACACGAGCAGGUCAACACAAACAGGUAAACACGAGCAGGUCAACACAAACAGGUAAACACAAACAGGUAAACACGAGCAGGUAAACACAAACAGGUAAACACGAGCAGGUCAACACAAACAGGUAAACACGAGCAGGUCAACACAAACAGGUAAACACAAGCAGGUAAACACAAACAGGUAAACACAAACAGGUAAACACAAGCAGGUCAACACAAACAGGUAAACACAAGCAGGUCAACACAAACAGGUCAACACAAACAGGUAAACACGAG